UACGGAGGGUGCAAGCGUUAUCCGGAUUUAUUGGGUUUAAAGGGUCCGUAGGCGGACUUAUAAGUCAGUGGUGAAAGCCUGUCGCUUAACGAUAGAACUGCCAUUGAUACUGUAAGUCUUGAGUAUAUUUGAGGUAGCUGGAAUAAGUAGUGUAGCGGUGAAAUGCAUAGAUAUUACUUAGAACACCAAUUGCGAAGGCAGGUUACCAAGAUAUAACUGACGCUGAGGGACGAAAGCGUGGGGAG
RNAcentral lists this ribosomal RNA (245 nucleotides) under uncultured Cloacibacterium sp. Its description in RNAcentral is "partial 16S ribosomal RNA". It matches the Rfam family "Bacterial small subunit ribosomal RNA", at positions 524 to 768 of the family's 1533-position model. The record is from RNAcentral. Lineage: Bacteria; Pseudomonadati; Bacteroidota; Flavobacteriia; Flavobacteriales; Weeksellaceae.